Non-coding RNA from Pelobates cultripes (western spadefoot toad), 330 nucleotides. NCBI's taxonomy places the organism in Eukaryota, Metazoa, Chordata, Amphibia, Anura, Pelobatidae. The record is from the annotation of a GenBank genome assembly.
GUUGGUGUAAGGAUAUAUCUUUAAGUAAGUAGUAUGGUGUACUGUAGAACAUGGUAAACUCAUUGCAGAUGUCUUGCAGCCUAAGAAUUUUUCAUCCUGAAACUAAGAUUAAGUAAAGUAUCUUUGAGUCACUCAGAUUAAAAACAUACUUGCAGUAAAGCUGUUAUUUUAGAAGAGGCUUUUGCAGGAGUAGUUUAACUGCAGAGGAGUUUAAAAAAUUAAAGUCCACGUUAAGGUACAAAUUUGACUAGGCAGAAAUUGAAGAUUAUGCUAGCUUUAGUGUAUUUAUAAUCUUAAUUUUAGUAAUGACAGGAGGCAAAUAUUUUGCAU